RNAcentral lists this non-coding RNA (26 nucleotides) under Rattus norvegicus (Norway rat). The record is from RNAcentral. Lineage: Eukaryota; Metazoa; Chordata; Mammalia; Rodentia; Muridae.
UAAAUUAAGCCCAGGACCGAGCUAGU